Xiphophorus couchianus (Monterrey platyfish) is the source of this 5179-nucleotide RNA transcript. It is a transcript of the gene named methylated-DNA--protein-cysteine methyltransferase, with no coding region annotated. The record is from RefSeq and is a predicted model, not a curated record. Lineage: Eukaryota; Metazoa; Chordata; Actinopteri; Cyprinodontiformes; Poeciliidae. The transcript has 6 exons.
UUUGUACUGGCCAAUUAGGGAACAAGAGCGGACUUUCCCGUGUUGUGAUUGGAUCGUAGGACCAUGCUGCUAGAAGAAACAGGAAGUGUCAUUUGUUUUUCACAGGAACGAAGAUUUAACGGUGCCCUAUAGUCGGAGUAUGAAAAAGGCAUCAGUUGGCAGCGAGAUGAAGAAGCAAAGGGAGAGCCAGUGCACUCAGAAGACCAUCUCAUUGCUGAGCCCCCUGGGGACGAUCCAAGUCAGUGGAUGUGAGAAUGGUGUGCACACCAUCCAGAUCCUAAUGGAUGUCGCACCUGCUGAAAGGAGCAGCGCGGCCCCCCUGAGCUGCGUGGUCACCGAUAGCCCAGCAGAAACGAGCCCCGAGAUGCAGCGCUGCGUUGAAUGGCUCCAGGCGUACUUCACCGAGCCGCAGACCGCUGGGAGUCUCCCGCUCCCUGCCUUUCACCACCCCGCCCUGCAAGGAGAUGCCUUCACCAGCCGCGUGCUGCAAGUACUUCUGAGGGACGUGAAGUUUGGAGAGACGGUCUCGUACAAGCGCCUCGCCGAGAUGGCGGGAAACCCCAGAGCGGUGCGGGCGGUGGGAGGGGCCAUGAGGAGGAAUCCGAUAACCAGUACGGAGGAAAGUCUUGAUAAGAGUGGCAACAUAUGGAUGCGGUAAGCUUCGCUUUCUUUUGAUUGUGUGACCCCGUGACCCAUGCUUCUGUUUGAGAGCAAGGCAGCCACAUGGUACGGUGGGGGUCUGUCAGGCUCUGGUUAUGGGGCAUUAUUGACCCAGGAUUUAUAAAUAUUUAAUGCACACAUUAAGAUCAUGGUGGAGGGUGGCCAUUAGAGUUCUCCAAUAAAAGAGGCUCUCACGAUGAUUGAAUGGUGUGGCAGAGCUAGUGGCUGUUUGUUGGGUACAAAGAAACCUGCUGAGACUAUAUAUACUGUACCUCCAGCCUGCCUGGCAGGCUUCAGAGCUUUUAAAGCACCCAGCAACUGAGCUAACUUGUCAUUUUUUAUAUAUACAUUAGGUUUUUUACCCUCUGAUUUUAGUCUUUAAAAAGAGGUUUAGUUAAAUUGUUAUAAGGAAUUGAUAUGUAGCCUACAGUGGAUAAUUCUUGGCAUUUUUUUCUGGUGUAAAUCAAGAUUGGAUGAUCCCAGAGCUCAAGGAGUAAUAGAAGAGUGGCAAAACCCAAACUAGUGUCCAAUGCCCAAAACAUGUUAGUGGUUAAGGCAAAUCGUAUUUUAUUAUCACAUUUUAUUAGGUGGUUAGAAAGUGAUUAUUUACAAAGGAAAUAAAGGUUGGAGGCGGUGAGCCACCAGUGACCUUCCUGAGUGAAACAUGGACUGAGAACAUGUCAGGUUUUUCCAAACUCAGUAACGACCUCAAAGAACAGUAAGGCAGGGUAAAAAUAAAUAAAACAGAGUUUGUAUAAACCCUAUUUAUUUGUGCUAUUUUUACUUUUUAAACAAUUUUAUUUUGAAUAGUUGUUUAAACUGGACACACCUUACAUCACGAGAAAAAUUAUUUUCCAAAAUAGACUCCGAAAUAACUGUGAUUGUUGCAGAGCUAAAUUAUUCCAAAAAUAUAUUUUGUAAUAAAUCUAAAGGAUGUUUAUUAGCUGUCAGUAGCAACACUUAUUGCAAAUAAAAUAGCAAAACAUAAAAAUCAGUAAAAACGGUUAGAGUAUGUUUUGUAUUAGACAGGUAACUCCAUUCUCCAUGUAACUAAUCACCAGCUUCACUUUAAACAACCCUCAAAUAUAAUGCAGUUCCAACUAAUCUGGUUUUACACUGAUAAAGAUGUUAAUGGAGUUAUUUACAGCAGGUACGUAAUUAACUGCCUAAAAUAAUUUAACAGAGCUUCUCCUCAGCAAUCCCUAUUCAUGUUUUGUGCAUCUACUUUCUUUGCUGCAUUGAUUAAUAUCGAGUUUGCUUGUUUGUUUUUAUUUUAACCCCCUUCCACCUCCACCCCCUAAAAAAAAAAAACACAAAGCAGAAUGCAACGUGAUGGAUCGAAACUUGUGUAUCCGACACAGAUAACGCAGGGAGACAGUUGUGUGCACGUUGUUAUCAGAUGCACUGGGUUAUCAGGGAAAUUAUUUGAAGCCUGCAGAAAAUGAAAUUGCUGCUUUCGGUGUGUCUGUCCUUUGCACUAUCAGCAGCUCCUGGUGGAUCUCCUGCACCGCCGAGAUCCGCGCAUGCUGGCUGGCGUAAUAAGCCGCUGAUAUGCUGAUUGCCACUCGGGUUGCUGUCAUUUAAUUGUGCAUUAAAGGCAGACGUGGCCUCGGACAAUGGCGCCUUGAUGAGAAAUUGACAUUUUGUGACCUGCGCUCCGCAAGCACUCAGGAUGCCAGAUAAGAUGCUCAGUUGUUUUUAAGGAGAACCACUGUUCUUCCCUCAAACACUUCUAUCCUCCUGUUUGACCCACUUGAUGAGUAUAGAUUUCACAACGCCCCCCUUGCCGUCCCCCCUUUCAGCACUCAAACUAUAAGAGGUUCAAAACGAUACCAGGCCUUAUAGACAAAGGAUAACCUUGCUCUUUCAAUGUAUCGAUUCUUUAUUAACUAGGUGGCUUAAUGCAAUGAAAUGAGGGAUUUGAAUGAGCCCCAUUUGGGGUGCUUUGAAUAAAAAAAGCUUGCACUGUUUAUGAAUGACUACAAUGAACCUUUGAAGCACCACAGAUGCAGGAUGUGCUCACACAGAGACCAGUAGAAACAAAUUCAGAAUGCUUCGCUGAAAGAAUAUGAGGAUAGAGCAGUUUUCAUCUUUUUUAUGGAUGUUACACUUUUUCCACAGGUUCAAACAGUUAUCUCCAUAGCAAUGUCUAAAUACUACAUCUUACAGAUGAAUCACAGGUUUUGUCUACUGUCUUUUCUCUUGUUUUUUUUUUUUUUUGUUGUUGUUGUUUUUUGUAUUUGUUUGUUUCCUUGUUCCUGAUUGUCAGUUUAUCUGCCAUCCAAACUGGGCUUAAAACUGAAGAAGUCCACAGUUGAGGGGCUAUUAUGUUUUUUUUACUGAAAAUUUUAAUAAAACAUCACUUAGUCAUUUCUGUUUCCAUUCCAAAUGCUGACAUUUUAAAAUUUUCUUCCCUGUAAACACAUGUAAGCUAUGUGGCAGAGUCUUAAGUGGUGAGUAAAAAUGACUUCUAUACAUUCUACAAAACAGGAAAGAAAAAAAAUACAACCACAAAUGGAGUUUUUUUUUAUCUCCAAGGUUGUCCCUCAUGCACAUUAGUCUCUAUUGGAUCUUAACAACUAUCAUAUGGGUCACAAACAAUUUAUUUGACAAUACAACCAACAAAGUUUUCUCCAAAAUGGUCUGUAUAGAUAAUUUAAAAUCAAUAUAAAAAUAAACAAUGAAGUUUGACUUCCCUUUUAAAAAAAAUGGACAGAGAGUCUCGACGGUGUAACACAAAAAGUUUCGAGGAUACACAUGAAAUAUAUGCACAUUGCAUUUCAUCAAAUACAAAAAAGAAAAACAAAUGAAGGCAACAGUUCUUGGCUGAAUUAUCUGUGCUGCAUCACUAUAUUAAGGGCAUGACGAUUAAUACAUACAUAAUGAAAAGCAAUAUACAAAAUUUCAGAGAUAAAUACAUUAUUUAUAGUUGAUAUGUUACAAAAUUUCCUUCAGUGAGCGCAAGUGUGUAUUUGAACAGAAAAAUGACAAUGACCGACUAUAUUCCUACAUUCUCAAUGGGUUUUAAUUUUUUUGUUUUUAAACAUUUUUUUGUUGAUCUAAAAGAACAUGAAAAAGACAGAUGUAUAAAUAUUUAGCACAAGUUUGGCAAUAUCACAAUAGUCUACAAUUUUUUUAACCACAUAUAAAACACAUAAGGGAGUUGGAGCCAAAAGGAGACUGCUCCUCAUCAACAAGAAACAGACUUCACAGUAGCCUAGGAAUGCAUUAAUAUACAGUGCUAGCAAAAAAGUUGAAAAAACAUGGCAAAACACACUUGCUUAAAAGGAAGCUCUAGACGUGGAAGUACAUCAUAUUCAUCAACAGAGUAGUGUUUUUGUACACAUCAGUGUGCUUGUUGACGCGGAGGAUUUUUUUUUUUUUCACUUUUGAAGAUGAUUUCUAGCUACAAUAAAUUACAAAAUUUAAGUUAAAAUGCAGGAAUGAAACAUGAUACAACAUCACCCACCCAUCACCCCCCCACACCCUGGCCCUCCCAAAAAAGAAAUCCUGUUUUUACUUCAUAUUUAUUGUACUUUUAUGAUCGGUUUUUGCUAAAUUAUAUAUUUCAUAUAUUUUUCCAGUUGAAAUUCAAACUGUCUUGGCCCCUGUGUAGUUUUCUCACACAUAAAAAUACAAAAGUCACAUUAUAAAGACGCACAACUGUUGUGAAUCUAUUAAAAGAGAGUUGAAACAAAAAAAAAGAAAGAAAAAAAAACUGAGGCAAACAAGUUUGUUGGCAAAUGGACUGUACAUCAGUGUUUUUACUUUACAACCAGAUGGUGAGUCCACAGAGUCCCUUCCAGUACUGAGAGUGGCUGUCCGAGGCUGAAGCUCAACUCGACAGCUCUCAGCACGCCGCUCCUGCUAUGUGUGAUAUUUCUCCUGCCAUCGGGGUAAUGGCAAACAGUGGCCCAGACUCCCAGGAGAGCCGGCUGUGGUGACGACGGAGCAACAACACGGUCAUUUCCCACAAUGCCGCAACUCGGCUCAGUCUCCCACUCGGAUUCAUUUCUGUGACUUCCUUCCUUUCUGCACCCCCUUCGUCUCUUUAUCAUCGACUCAAGUUUUGCCUUCACGUCAUUAUCCAAUAGAGAUUAGGCAAGAUCAAAAGUAGCUCCCUGUUAUUGCGCUAAGACCAUCUGCUUUGGAUAUCAUUAGCAACUGUAGCUCGCCCUAAGAGUUUAUAUAUUCAGUAUUUUCACAUGUUUUAACAAUUAGGCAACUAGUGAAGUGCUAGGAUGAUGUAUUAGUGUAUUGCUCGCAGUAUAUUUGUAGAGUCAUGGUUGAAAUGCUUUUAAGUUUGCCAGCGCAGAUGAUGGCAAGGCAUUGCUCAUUAAUUUCUGCACAACAUGUAUUAAUAAGUAUGAACGUGUAGCAAGAUGAACUUUAAUUUCCCACUUCAUUAAGCCCAAUGUUAUUAAUCUUGGGGCACGCGCUACAGCUAAGCUUGUUUUCAAUGCAAUCAUGUUGGUCAUGACACACGCACAAAACCUAAUAAACAUAAUUACUAAAACAA